This 305-nucleotide unclassified non-coding RNA is filed under the name plant metagenome. RNAcentral describes it as "partial contains 5.8S ribosomal RNA, internal transcribed spacer 2, and large subunit ribosomal RNA". The stretch from base 1 to 105 matches the Rfam family "5.8S ribosomal RNA", at positions 50 to 154 of the family's 154-position model. The record is from RNAcentral.
GAAAUGCGAUAAGUAAUGUGAAUUGCAGAAUUCAGUGAAUCAUCGAAUCUUUGAACGUACAUUGCGCCCGCCAGUAUUCUGGCGGGCAUGCCUGUUCGAGCGUCAUUUCAACCAUCAAGCCCCCGGCUUGUGUUGGGGACCUGCGGCUGCCCGCAGGCCCUGAAAAACAGUGGCGGGCUCGCUGUCACACCGAGCGUAGUAGCAUACAUUCUCGCUCAGGGCGUGCUGCGGGUUCCGGCCGUUAAACGACCUUCAUAACCCAAGGUUGACCUCGGAUCAGGUAGGAAGACCCGCUGAACUUAAGC